This 2931-nucleotide ribosomal RNA is filed under the name Escherichia coli. RNAcentral describes it as "23S ribosomal RNA". It matches the Rfam family "Bacterial large subunit ribosomal RNA". Lineage: Bacteria; Pseudomonadati; Pseudomonadota; Gammaproteobacteria; Enterobacterales; Enterobacteriaceae. The record is from RNAcentral.
GGGUUGUGAGGUUAAGCGACUAAGCGUACACGGUGGAUGCCCUGGCAGUCAGAGGCGAUGAAGGACGUGCUAAUCUGCGAUAAGCGUCGGUAAGGUGAUAUGAACCGUUAUAACCGGCGAUUUCCGAAUGGGGAAACCCAGUGUGAUUCGUCACACUAUCAUUAACUGAAUCCAUAGGUUAAUGAGGCGAACCGGGGGAACUGAAACAUCUAAGUACCCCGAGGAAAAGAAAUCAACCGAGAUUCCCCCAGUAGCGGCGAGCGAACGGGGAGCAGCCCAGAGCCUGAAUCAGUGUGUGUGUUAGUGGAAGCGUCUGGAAAGGCGCGCGAUACAGGGUGACAGCCCCGUACACAAAAAUGCACAUACUGUGAGCUCGAUGAGUAGGGCGGGACACGUGGUAUCCUGUCUGAAUAUGGGGGGACCAUCCUCCAAGGCUAAAUACUCCUGACUGACCGAUAGUGAACCAGUACCGUGAGGGAAAGGCGAAAAGAACCCCGGCGAGGGGAGUGAAAAAGAACCUGAAACCGUGUACGUACAAGCAGUGGGAGCACGCUUAGGCGUGUGACUGCGUACCUUUUGUAUAAUGGGUCAGCGACUUAUAUUCUGUAGCAAGGUUAACCGAAUAGGGGAGCCGAAGGGAAACCGAGUCUUAACUGGGCGUUAAGUUGCAGGGUAUAGACCCGAAACCCGGUGAUCUAGCCAUGGGCAGGUUGAAGGUUGGGUAACACUAACUGGAGGACCGAACCGACUAAUGUUGAAAAAUUAGCGGAUGACUUGUGGCUGGGGGUGAAAGGCCAAUCAAACCGGGAGAUAGCUGGUUCUCCCCGAAAGCUAUUUAGGUAGCGCCUCGUGAAUUCAUCUCCGGGGGUAGAGCACUGUUUCGGCAAGGGGGUCAUCCCGACUUACCAACCCGAUGCAAACUGCGAAUACCGGAGAAUGUUAUCACGGGAGACACACGGCGGGUGCUAACGUCCGUCGUGAAGAGGGAAACAACCCAGACCGCCAGCUAAGGUCCCAAAGUCAUGGUUAAGUGGGAAACGAUGUGGGAAGGCCCAGACAGCCAGGAUGUUGGCUUAGAAGCAGCCAUCAUUUAAAGAAAGCGUAAUAGCUCACUGGUCGAGUCGGCCUGCGCGGAAGAUGUAACGGGGCUAAACCAUGCACCGAAGCUGCGGCAGCGACGCUUAUGCGUUGUUGGGUAGGGGAGCGUUCUGUAAGCCUGUGAAGGUGUGCUGUGAGGCAUGCUGGAGGUAUCAGAAGUGCGAAUGCUGACAUAAGUAACGAUAAAGCGGGUGAAAAGCCCGCUCGCCGGAAGACCAAGGGUUCCUGUCCAACGUUAAUCGGGGCAGGGUGAGUCGACCCCUAAGGCGAGGCCGAAAGGCGUAGUCGAUGGGAAACAGGUUAAUAUUCCUGUACUUGGUGUUACUGCGAAGGGGGGACGGAGAAGGCUAUGUUGGCCGGGCGACGGUUGUCCCGGUUUAAGCGUGUAGGCUGGUUUUCCAGGCAAAUCCGGAAAAUCAAGGCUGAGGCGUGAUGACGAGGCACUACGGUGCUGAAGCAACAAAUGCCCUGCUUCCAGGAAAAGCCUCUAAGCAUCAGGUAACAUCAAAUCGUACCCCAAACCGACACAGGUGGUCAGGUAGAGAAUACCAAGGCGCUUGAGAGAACUCGGGUGAAGGAACUAGGCAAAAUGGUGCCGUAACUUCGGGAGAAGGCACGCUGAUAUGUAGGUGAAGCGACUUGCUCGUGGAGCUGAAAUCAGUCGAAGAUACCAGCUGGCUGCAACUGUUUAUUAAAAACACAGCACUGUGCAAACACGAAAGUGGACGUAUACGGUGUGACGCCUGCCCGGUGCCGGAAGGUUAAUUGAUGGGGUCAGCGCAAGCGAAGCUCUUGAUCGAAGCCCCGGUAAACGGCGGCCGUAACUAUAACGGUCCUAAGGUAGCGAAAUUCCUUGUCGGGUAAGUUCCGACCUGCACGAAUGGCGUAAUGAUGGCCAGGCUGUCUCCACCCGAGACUCAGUGAAAUUGAACUCGCUGUGAAGAUGCAGUGUACCCGCGGCAAGACGGAAAGACCCCGUGAACCUUUACUAUAGCUUGACACUGAACAUUGAGCCUUGAUGUGUAGGAUAGGUGGGAGGCUUUGAAGUGUGGACGCCAGUCUGCAUGGAGCCGACCUUGAAAUACCACCCUUUAAUGUUUGAUGUUCUAACGUGGACCCGUAAUCCGGGUUGCGGACAGUGUCUGGUGGGUAGUUUGACUGGGGCGGUCUCCUCCUAAAGAGUAACGGAGGAGCACGAAGGUUGGCUAAUCCUGGUCGGACAUCAGGAGGUUAGUGCAAUGGCAUAAGCCAGCUUGACUGCGAGCGUGACGGCGCGAGCAGGUGCGAAAGCAGGUCAUAGUGAUCCGGUGGUUCUGAAUGGAAGGGCCAUCGCUCAACGGAUAAAAGGUACUCCGGGGAUAACAGGCUGAUACCGCCCAAGAGUUCAUAUCGACGGCGGUGUUUGGCACCUCGAUGUCGGCUCAUCACAUCCUGGGGCUGAAGUAGGUCCCAAGGGUAUGGCUGUUCGCCAUUUAAAGUGGUACGCGAGCUGGGUUUAGAACGUCGUGAGACAGUUCGGUCCCUAUCUGCCGUGGGCGCUGGAGAACUGAGGGGGGCUGCUCCUAGUACGAGAGGACCGGAGUGGACGCAUCACUGGUGUUCGGGUUGUCAUGCCAAUGGCACUGCCCGGUAGCUAAAUGCGGAAGAGAUAAGUGCUGAAAGCAUCUAAGCACGAAACUUGCCCCGAGAUGAGUUCUCCCUGACUCCUUGAGAGUCCUGAAGGAACGUUGAAGACGACGACGUUGAUAGGCCGGGUGUGUAAGCGCAGCGAUGCGUUGAGCUAACCGGUACUAAUGAACCGUGAGGCUUAACCUUACAACGCCGAAGGUGUUU